CCUACGGGCCGCAGCAGUGGGGAAUAUUGCACAAUGGGCGCAAGCCUGAUGCAGCCAUGCCGCGUGUGUGAAGAAGGCCUUCGGGUUGUAAAGCACUUUCAGCGGGGAGGAAGGCGCCAAGGUUAAUAACCUUGGCGAUUGACGUUACCCGCAGAAGAAGCACCGGCUAACUCCGUGCCAGCAGCCGCGGUAAUACGGAGGGCGCAAGCGUUAAUCGGAAUUACUGGGCGUAAAGCGCACGCAGGCGGUCUGUCAAGUCGGAUGUGAAAUCCCCGGGCUCAACCUGGGAACUGCAUUCGAAACUGGCAGGCUAGAGUCUUGCAGAGGGGGGUAGAAUUCCAGGUGUAGCGGUGAAAUGCGGAGAGAUCUGGAGGAAUACCGGUGGCGAAGGCGGCCCCCUGGACAAAGACUGACGCUCAGGUGCGAAAGCGUGGGGAGCAAACAGGAUUAGAUACCCCUGUAGUC
Molecule: ribosomal RNA, 465 nt
Filed under: uncultured bacterium
Lineage: Bacteria
Description: bacterial SSU rRNA
Rfam family: Bacterial small subunit ribosomal RNA
Source: RNAcentral